RNAcentral lists this long non-coding RNA (330 nucleotides) under Parus major (Great Tit). Its description in RNAcentral is "lncRNA (ENSPMJG00000017295.1)". The record is from RNAcentral. Lineage: Eukaryota; Metazoa; Chordata; Aves; Passeriformes; Paridae.
CGGGAUGCUUGAGGACAGAAUGUCACCUGAAUGAGCUACUCCCUACACUAACCAGAAGGUGACUGGACAAUUUACAUCUGUGUACUUACUGAAAGGAAGGCUGAAGAGUCCUUUAUGUUGUCCAGGAGUAGUUUAUGGAUACAACUUCAGUGUCCUACAGCUGGAUCAGCCCUUCCCCUCUUUCCCCUUCAAUCCCAUGAUGCAGGAGGACCACAUGUAGAGGCACAGCCUGUGGAGUCCCAGCAAACAGGAGAAUCCUGCACUGCCCAGCAACGUGAGUGGCACAGUCUUCAGCCUCCUCCCCUGGUUCCCAUCUUCUUUGGAAAAUAA